GUCUCUGAUAGCUCAAUUGCUAGAGCCUUCGGCGCGUAACUAGAUGACCCGGGUUCGGAUCCCGGUCUGGACU
This 73-nucleotide transfer RNA is filed under the name Cotesia glomerata. RNAcentral describes it as "tRNA-Thr". Lineage: Eukaryota; Metazoa; Arthropoda; Insecta; Hymenoptera; Braconidae. The record is from RNAcentral.